RNAcentral lists this transfer RNA (72 nucleotides) under Trichoderma longibrachiatum. RNAcentral describes it as "tRNA-Thr". It matches the Rfam family "tRNA". Rfam says of the family: Transfer RNA (tRNA) molecules are approximately 80 nucleotides in length. Their secondary structure includes four short double-helical elements and three loops (D, anti-codon, and T loops). Lineage: Eukaryota; Fungi; Ascomycota; Sordariomycetes; Hypocreales; Hypocreaceae. RNAcentral also lists the same sequence under 7 other names. The record is from RNAcentral.
GCCUUUAUAGCUCAGGGGUAGAGCGUUGCACUCGUAAUGCAAAGGUCGCUAGUUCAAAUCUGGCUGGAGGCA